CAAAUUUCUUGCCCUAUCAAGUCUCGAUGGUAGGAUAGAGGCUACCAUGCUUGGUACGGUAACGGGAAUUAGGGUUCGAUUCCGGAGAGGGAGCCUGAGAAACGGCUACACAUCUAAGGAAGGCAGCAGGCGCGCAAAUUACCCAAUCCUGAUUCAGGGAGGUAGUGACAAUAAAUAACAAUCCAGGACUUCGGUCUUGGAAUUGGAAUGAGAACAAUUUAAAUCUCUUAUCGAGGAACAAUUGGAGGGCAAGUCUGGUGCCAGCAGCCGCGGUAAUUCCAGCUCCAAUAGCGUAUAUUAAAGUUGUUGCAGUUAAAAAGCUCGUAGUUGAACCUUGGGCCUGGCUGGCCGGUCCGCCUCACCGCGUGCACUGGUCCGGCCGGGCCUUUCCUUCUGGGGAGCGAUGCCCUUCACUGGGUGUGUCGGGAACCAGGGACUUUUACUUUGAAAAAAUUAGAGUGUUCCAAAGCAGGCCUAUGCUCCAAAUACUUAAGCUUGGGAUAUAGAAUAGGACGUGUGGUCCUA
This 525-nucleotide ribosomal RNA is filed under the name uncultured fungus. RNAcentral's name for it is "bacterial SSU rRNA". It matches the Rfam family "Eukaryotic small subunit ribosomal RNA", at positions 299 to 838 of the family's 1831-position model. The record is from RNAcentral. Lineage: Eukaryota; Fungi.